AAGUCUUGACUACACCAGAUCGGGCCAGAAAUGGUUUCAACUCUUUGGACACUGGUGAACAGGUGGUGCAUGGUUGUCGUCAGCUCGUGUCGUGAGAUGUUGGGUUAAGUCCCGCAACGAGCGCAACCCUCGUUCUAUGUUGCCAGCACGUAAUGGUGGGAACUCAUGGGAUACUGCCGGGGUCAACUCGGAGGAAGGUGGGGAUGACGUCAAAUCAUCAUGCCCCUUAUGUCUUGGGCUUCACGCAUGCUACAAUGGCCGGUACAAAGGGCUGCAAUACCGUGAGGUGGAGCGAAUCCCAAAAAGCCGGUCCCAGUUCGGAUUGAGGUCUGCAACUCGACCUCAUGAAGUCGGAGUCGCUAGUAAUCGCAGAUCAGCAACGCUGCGGUGAAUACGUUCCCGGGUCUUGGUACACACCG
RNAcentral lists this ribosomal RNA (419 nucleotides) under Microbacterium sp. E56. Its description in RNAcentral is "bacterial SSU rRNA". It matches the Rfam family "Bacterial small subunit ribosomal RNA", at positions 976 to 1392 of the family's 1533-position model. Lineage: Bacteria; Bacillati; Actinomycetota; Actinomycetes; Micrococcales; Microbacteriaceae. The record is from RNAcentral.